GCUGUUUUCUGCCCUACUCGUGUUUUCUUCUUCCUCGUCAGUGUCUCUACCUACAGAGACCACCUUCUUCAUUUUUGCUUAAGCCUUAAACCAAAGAUUCUUGAUUAUAAACUUUAACCCAAUAUUAUGAUCAAUACACACAAGUUCCUUUUUUUUCACUCUUCUUCAUGAGAAUCUGAGUUGAUAAAAGGCAUGCUCUUUUACAGCUUCACUACCAAACACUUCACUUCAAAGCUAAUAAUCCCAUGUAGUAAGUCUUUCUCUAACUUCACCAUUAUUAACCGUUUCUUCUCAGCUCUUUCUAACCCUUCUUCUGAUACUGAACAUGAACCUCAAACAAAUGAUGCAAUUCCCAACUUGGUUUCUUUAAAAACUGAAAUGGAACUACCCAUUCCUGAUAAUUUUGCACCAAAACCCAAAUUGGAUUCUUGUAGAACUGAAAUGGAACUACCCAAAGUUGCCCCAAUACCCAAGUUUGAUACUUGUGGAACUAAAGUAGAAGAACCCCUUUUUGAUAAUUCAUUUAAAGUUGCCCCAAAACCCAAGUUGGGUUCUUGUGAAACUGAAAUGGAAGUACCAAUUUCAGAUAAGUUAUUUAAAGAGGCUCCAAAGUUGGGUUCUUUUAAAUUGGGUGAUUCUACAUUUUAUUCUCUUAUUGAGAAAUAUGCCAGUUCUGGGGACUUUAGGUCUUUAGAGAUGGUUUUUGAUAGAAUGAAGUGUGAACAAAGAGUCUUUAUUGAGAAGAGUUUUAUCUUAGUAUUUAGAGCUUAUGGAAAAGCCUGUUUGCCUGAAAAAGCUGUUGAAUUGUUUGAAAGAAUGGUGGAUGAGUUUCAAUGUAAACGGACUGUGAAGUCGUUUAAUUCUGUUCUUAAUGUGAUAGUUCAGACAGGGUUAUAUCGUCGUGCAUUGGAUUUUUAUGCUGAUGUUGUAAAUAAUAGGAAUAUUAAGCCGAAUGUGCUUUCUUUUAAUUUAGUUAUUAAGACCUUUUGUAAGCUUCGGAUGGUCGAUAGAGCUAUCGAGCUGUUUAGAGAAAUGCCUACCUGGAAAUGUGAACCGGAUGUUUAUACGUAUUGUACUUUGAUGGAUGGGUUGUGCAAAGAUGACCGGAUUGAUGAGGCAGUUAUUCUUUUUGAUGAAAUGCAGAUAGAGGGAUGUUUUCCUAUUCCGUUAACAUUUAAUGUGUUGAUUCAUGGACUUUGUCGGAAAGGUGACUUGGCUCGAGCUGCAAAGCUUGUGGAUAACAUGUUUCUUAAAGGUUGUGUUCCGAAUGAAGUGACUUAUAACACACUUAUACAUGGUUUGUGUCUGAAAGGUAAGUUGGAGAAAGCUGUUAGUUUAUUGGAUAGAAUGGUGUCGAAUAAGUAUGUGCCAACUGAUGUAACAUAUGGAACGAUUAUCAACGGGUUCGUUAAGCAAGGAAGAGCAACUGAUGGUGUGCAGAUUUUGUUGGCAAUGCAGGAGAAAGGGCGAAUUGCAAAUGAAUAUGUCUACUCAGCACUACUAAGUGGGUUGUUCAAGGAGGGAAAACCUGAAGAGGCAUUAAAAAUAUGGAGGGAAAUGAUUGAAAAGGGAGUGAAACCAAAUACAGUUGCUUAUUCUGCUUUAAUAGAUGGCUUGUGUCGAGAAGGCAGACCUGACGAAGCUAAGGAGAUCCUUUCUGAGAUGAUUAAAAUGGGUUGCAAUCCCAAUGCUUACACUUACUGCUCUAUGAUGAAAGGUUAUUUUAAAGCCGGCGAUAGCAACAAGGCUGUAUUUUUAUGGAAAGAAAUGGCAACUAGUGGUAUCACAUGCAAUGAAAUCUGCUACAGUGUACUCAUCCAUGGACUGUGUCAAGAUGGGAAGCUCAAAGAGGCUAUGAUGGGGUGGAAGCACAUGUUAGGCAAAGGGUUCGUCCCUGAUGCCGUGGCUUAUAGUUCAGUGAUUCACGGCCUUUGUAAUGCUGGUUCUGUAGACCAGGGAUUGAAACUCUUCAAUGAGAUGCUAUAUAGAGGAUCUGGUUCUCAGCCUGACGUAAUAGCAUUUAACAUAGUUCUUAGUGCUUUAUGCAAGGUGGACAGAGUUUCUCUAGCAAUUGAUCUUUUGAAUACCAUGUUGGAUCGAGGUUGUGAUCCUGACUCUAUUACAUGUAAUAUUUUCUUGAAAACUUUAAAUGAAAAAGCAAAUCCAUCCCAAGAUGCGGAAGACUUUCUGGAUAAGUUGGUGUGGCAACUGUACAGGCGGCAGAGAAUUUUAGGAGCUUCAAGAAUUAUAGAAGUGAUGCUUCAAAAAUUUCUUUAUCCCAAGUCCUCUACUUGGGAAAUGAUUAUUCGAGAACUCUGCAAACCGAAGAAGGUUCAAGGAGCUAUUAACAAGUGUUGGAGUGACCUUUUCAUCUGAUAUUAGAGGUUAGUUUUUAUUUUGGUUGCAAAAAUGCAAUAUCCUGAAACAUUGUUUCCGAUGGGCACAUUGCUCGUUGGAGACAAAAGAGGACAGUGAGAUUCUUUCUGAGGAUUCAUUCUGUACAUCUCAGAAUAUGGGUCAUUCUGCUUGAGAUGUGCAUCAAGCAAUUACACAAUGAUUGGACGACUGUUUAUUUCCAAACAGACACUUGCUUCCAUAGUUUAAACAUUACGUUUUUCUGUUAGUUUGUGUGUGUAUCUGUUGCACAUGUAUGUAACAGAAAAUGACAUUUUAUCAAUUAUUUCUAAAAAGCUCUUAAAUGGAUACAGAAACCUUUCAAUUAGGAUAAUCUAGCGUUGUUCAGUCAUUAGGAUUAGGAUAAUAAAAAGCAAGCCAUAUCACUUGUAGAUUCCCCUUACAAGUUUUGAAUUUUGUCAGUUCGCUGGACUUAGCAUAGCCUAUUAUCUAAUUUAGCUAAACACCUAUAUUUUGUAAUCUUACAUUUUGUACGGUUCUUGUUGCCAUCAGUGAAACUUUUUACUUCAUCAGAAGGAUAUUAAAAAGAAAGCGUCCACGUCAUUGAAUAUGUUUUUCUUCACUUUCUUACCAUAUGUUAGGUUUGAAAUCUAAAAGUUCUAACAAGUUUGUUACAUAUCAGGUUUGAAUAUUGAUGAUACUGCAAUACCCUAGUCAUGCAAGAUCAUUUAGAAAUGGUUUUGGGCUGCUAGAAUUAUUAUUUUUCGCUAAACUAACUUGGGAUCACAAUGGUGGGUGAAAGAAAUAUUGUGAGCGUGGUGGUUGCUAUGGGAAGCUUGCAAAUAAGUAGAAAAUGGCAGUGAGAACUCCACAGGGGUCCAUCACGUGAUGCAUUCAUGACGUGCAAAAGCAGUAGAAGAUGACAACGAGAAUACUGUUUAAUCUGAAGUUGUAACUUUUGGGGGGGCAUAUAUUGUCAGAUAUGUUCGCUGGAGUGGUAUCGAUGUUUUCUAAGAAACAUUGCUCGGCUUUUAGAAAAGUUCAAGAAAUUAUGAAAACGAUACAAACAACUAUGGUUCGUUUAAGAAUAAGUGCGAUGGAACUCAAGUCCCAGAUUUAAUCAUAGGUGUAAAAAAACUUAUGCCCUAGCUUUUUCCAUGUCUUCUUCUGAGAUCUUUGAAGACAUUGGCAUCUUUGAUUGAUGAGCCAUGUCAUAAGUUGCAUG
Lycium ferocissimum is the source of this 3580-nucleotide RNA transcript. It is a transcript of the gene named pentatricopeptide repeat-containing protein At4g20090, with no coding region annotated. NCBI's taxonomy places the organism in Eukaryota, Viridiplantae, Streptophyta, Magnoliopsida, Solanales, Solanaceae. The transcript has 4 exons. The record is from RefSeq and is a predicted model, not a curated record.